UUCGAUCCACUGUGUACAAACCUCUUUCCCCCAAAUUGCUUUAGCAUUUAGAAAACAGCAGCAAUACCAAGAACGCGCCUCACGCGCGGAGAAAAACCAGAGGGAGAUCGAGAGUGCUCUCUCCCGGCCGAACGCCGCCGGCUCACCUGCUGCUGUGUUCCGGUCCGGGAGAGGAUGACAACAUGGGCUAGCGGCGAGGUUCUAGGGCGGAGGCCUGGCUUAGGGAUGGAGGAAGGCGGCACGAUCUCGGACAAAGAAGACCGAUCUGGACUCUUUCUUCUUGGAUAGUGGGUGACUUCCGACAUGGAGCAUCGGCGAGGUGCGAUUUGCCGGCGGGGCACGUUUUUCCAGCUGCUUCUGGCGUCACGGGUGCUUAUGAGAGCUUGGAGAUGGCUGGGUUCUCGAUCUCAUGGCAGAGGCGAGCCCAGAUGCGAUCCGAUUCCUUAUGGAAUUUGAUCUAGAACGAUGGCCAGGUUCUGAUGUAGGCGACUUUGUGGUGUGACGGUGUUGCGGCGUUGGGAUGCGAUGCAGCCGAGGGGCAGUGCAAGGUGGAGAGAUGGCGGUGCGCGCGGACACGGGUUGCAGCCUUGGUGGAUUGUGGUUCGGCCUUGGUGGAUCGCAGAGCUGGUUCCGUGUGGGAAAUGGUGUUUGGGCUGGGCCUUGGUGUUAGGGCCCGGCUAUUUGGGCCUUUGUUUGUUUUCUGUUUUGUUUGGUUUGAGUUUAUUUAUUUUUGGUUGGUUUGUGUCUUUCAGUUUUUGCAGUGUUAAGUCCAUACUCUGUCGAGUUAUGGUAGUCGCCGUUGAUUCCGGCAAGCGAUUGGAGUUGAGUAGCUGGUUUGUUGCUAAAACCCUAAUUUUCUUCCCUGCCAUCCAAAAUCUAGAGUCAUAGAAUAGCUGAGGAGUGGAAUCCUUAGUCAAUCAAAGAUGAAAAUUCAGGUGCAGGGAAGAAAAAGAAGAGAGAUAUUCAUUGCCACCAAACCCUCCAUAUAGUAGAAUCCUUAGAUCUGGCUCCUUAUGACAAGCAAGCAACUCCUGAACAGAAUUCUCUCAAGGGAAUGAAAGAUCCAAAGCUUGAUUGAAAUCUAAAGACACAAAAAGAAGAUGGGCCAAGGAGAUCAGGUCUUGUCACUUGCAUGCUACUCAAAGAAGACUCGGGAAAUUUAGAUGACGCGAUGGAUCGAGACUGCAAAUAAUGUUGUUUUGUUGGAAAUAAAUGCUGCCUUAACACUUGAAGUCCUUUCUCUUUAACAGAAUACAUGAAGAUAUGCAUUGGUGCUGCACUGGCUGCAUUAGCAUUGUUGCUGGCAACUUUGAUGAAGAAGAGGAGGAGGAGGAAGAAGAAGAAGAAGAGGGAGACGGGAAGAAGUUGUCGCUCGAUUCGAACAAAUCAUCUCAGGGGUAUUGUUCCUGCUGCAGUUUGGGGUUUGAGUGAUUGAUUUGAGGACGUUGAAGGUUGAAGUUUGGAUCUUGGUUGUAAUCUGAAAACAGAGUUCUGCCAAAAACAAGUAAAACAGGUUUGAUCUCUAAUGAAAGUCUUUCACUACUAUUACAGUUCAAUUGCUUUGGGAGUCAUUUCUGUUGAGAAGAGAUGGAGCUAUCCCUGGUCUCACUUGAAAGAAACCUCCUUAAAGAUUUCCUAUUAUUCAUGCUAAUUAUAUAGGUCUGUUUUCUUCUUUGGAAGGGAUGAAGAAGCCGUGAAGAAAUCAACGCUGGUCUGCGCCGAAACAUUGAAGAAUGAGGCAAUCCAAGGAUCUUUUCUAGAAGCAUACUACACCACAGUAAGGACUGCUGCCUUCUUCCUUGCCUAGCAGUUUUUGGUUUCUCAACUUUCUCUCUAUUUACUUUCCUUGCUGCUGCCUCCAUGCACUUUGGCAUCCGUUGCUGUGACAGGCAAGCAGAAAAACAUGGAACUACAUCAUCAUCAUCAGCACCAUUGUCAGCUGCUAAAUAGAAAAACAAUUGAAUUGAAAUAGCUAUGUUAUAUAGCUUUUGCUAGACUAAUCAAUUUCGUGCAGCUGCAACUACAACUCCAAUCGGAGCCGUCACUUUUUUGAACCAACACUAGCAUUUUACAAAGCUGCAACUGAAACAACCAACUGGAGUACUUUGUACAAACUGACUCCUUAAAUUCACUCCAGCAGCUCCUUUUGAUAGAUUAACCUAUCUCUUAUAUCCUUUUUGUAAAGCUACAACUAGAAUAGCUAGCCUUUUUGUGCAGCUAGCAUGUUUGCAUCAUCUCCUUUCAAAUAGACUGCAGCUAAAAUCUAAGAUGUAUGAAAACUGUUUUCACUAUUUGAAUGAAAUGUGAUGAUUUUCCUUUUGUA
Molecule: long non-coding RNA, 2323 nt
Organism: Rosa chinensis
Lineage: Eukaryota; Viridiplantae; Streptophyta; Magnoliopsida; Rosales; Rosaceae
Exons: 13
Source: RefSeq, a predicted model, not a curated record